AACAUUUUGAAUGGUACCAACGGUCAAAUAUUCCGAACCCUCCGUAUAUCGAAACAUCGCUCCCAUCAUCCAACGGUUCAUAACGCGAAUAGGGAAUCAGUCAGAAAUCCAAACUCACACGUCGUCGUUUUGCACCCCUUCUUCUCCGAACUUCGUUUCCGCCCAUCAUGUAUUCCCACACUCUCUGCAGUUCCUUAUAUUCGCAACAACUACAAAACUCACAAUGAAAGCGUUUUUCACCGUUCUUCUUGAAAACAAUGGAAGCUUCUAAGAAGAAAGGGGUUGCGAUGAAGAAGACCAACGAUCACUGGGCUUUUCUGGAGCAUAUUGAAGCACCUAUGUGGGUAGAUUUGACUGUUGAAGCUGUAUCUGGUGGUGUAGACACAGGUGGUGAUGAUUGGUUCAACAAAAGUCAUCCGUUCCACCAAAUGUCAGCUCGAGAGUUAAAAUCCAAGUUUUCUCAGGGUGACGAGAUAUUGGCACCAGGAAUUGAUCUGCAAGGAGUAAAUUCGCCUGAGCUUCCUUCUUCGGUCUCGAGAUCUAGAGGCAAACACUACAACAAGAAGUGGGAAGGUAUUAAUCUGAAUACUUUAUUAGAUAAUCAGACGAGUAGGAGAGGCUUACAACAAUAUUCAAGCUUUGGUCAAGUGAAACCCAGAUUAAAAUCAAACGUGAUCAGGCCAAAAAGAGCAUUGAGUGGGAAGUUUGGAUUGACUUUUGAACCGCAAGCCAGAGGAAAAACUGUAUCAAAGGUUAGUUGUAGCAAAACAGUGGGUAGUUCUAGUUCAGAUCGCAAGACUGGUGGAAGCUCUCCAAGAAGCACAAUUACAUCUGAUAACACUCAGAAGUAUACGGAGGUAUCUAGCAAACCAUGUGAUCAGAAAAGAAGUUCAUCAAUUAGGAGGGUUAGUGUUGGGAAAUGUGUUACAAGAAAAGUCUCAAACAUUCAGCCACAAAAGAAAUGUUUGGGGGUAAGUAGUCAACCAUGUGAUCAGAACAGUAGAAGUUCAUCCAUUAUUAGCGUUAGGAGAAGCUAUGUUUCAGUAAAGACUUCAAAAGUGGAGAUAGGUGAUAAUAGCACGCAAUCAAGGGGUAGUAAAUCAUCUUCUGGGAAGUCUAGUGUUGGGUCAUGUUCAGACACAAGUGUUGAAGCUAAGUUUGUAUCAAGGCAGCACAGAGAGAAAAUCACAUAUCAGAAAGGUGGGGUGACAAUUAAGCGUGCGAUUAAGAAUAGUUGCAAGCCAGGUGAAACAUCGAAGGCAACAAAGUCUGGUAACAGAAUGGGAAAUAACAUCAAUUUUUCGAAGCCAGCAUACCAUCGAACAGCAAAGUCAUUGGUCCAGUAUCCGUCUACAAGUUCAAAGGCAUCGUUACAACACAUAGUGAAUAAAAAAAACAGCUGUAUGGAUGGUGCCAAGGAGAAACUAAGAACUACCAAGGUUAGUAGUUUGACAGCCAAGGGAAAAGAGAAUAUAACAAAGAAUGUGACAGUGAAUAGGAAAUGCAUUGCAAGAGGUGUUUCUGCAGGGGGGCCGUGUUAGAAGUUAUAGAAUUACUGAACACAACCUACAAAAGGGUGACGAAGCAGGAUCAACUGCUUUGACAAAUAGUGGAGAGAGCACCAAUCAACCUGAAGCAAAGAACCCAGUUAAUCUGGCCAUGAGGAAUUACCCACGCUAGAUGAGUACAACAUUCUUUCUUUCAUGUAUAAAAAAUUACGGAAAAAAAUGAUGACCCUUCCCUUUUCAAAAUCUGGCAAAGUUACGUGCUCGGUGAAGCCUUAUAUUGGUUUAUCUUAGUUAAAGUAUAUAUCGUAAAUUCUACUAUGGCUAUGGCCCUUCCCUUCAAUGUUUAUUUUAGUUGCUU
Molecule: RNA transcript, 1866 nt
Organism: Vigna radiata var. radiata (mung bean)
Lineage: Eukaryota; Viridiplantae; Streptophyta; Magnoliopsida; Fabales; Fabaceae
Exons: 6
Source: RefSeq, a predicted model, not a curated record